UCUUUCCUACGGGACGCAGCAGUGAGGAAUAUUGGUCAAUGGCCGAGAGGCUGAACCAGCCAAGUCGCGUGAGGGAAGAAUGUCCUAUGGAUUGUAAACCUCUUUUGUCAGGGAGCAAAGUCACCCACGUGUGGGUGUUGGAGAGUACCUGAAGAAAAAGCAUCGGCUAACUCCGUGCCAGCAGCCGCGGUAAUACGGAGGAUGCGAGCGUUAUCCGGAUUUAUUGGGUUUAAAGGGUGCGUAGGCGGGUUAUCAAGUCAGCGGUACAAUCGUGGAGCUCAACUCCAUCCAGCCGUUGGAACUGG
RNAcentral lists this ribosomal RNA (305 nucleotides) under uncultured bacterium. RNAcentral's name for it is "bacterial SSU rRNA". It matches the Rfam family "Bacterial small subunit ribosomal RNA", at positions 333 to 636 of the family's 1533-position model. The record is from RNAcentral.